CAGCCGCCGCGGGAAUACGUAGGGGGCAAGCGUUAUCCGGAAUUACUGGGUGUAAAGGGAGCGUAGACGGUUAAACAAGUCUGAAGUGAAAUGCCGGGGCUCAACCCCGGAGCUGCUUUGGGAACUGUAGAACUGGAGUGUCGGAGGGGUAAGCGGAAUUCCCAGUGUAGCGGUGAAAUGCGUAGAUAUUGGGAGGAACACCAAUGGCAAAAGCACUCUGCUAGGCUGACACUUACACUGAGAGACGAAAGCUAGGGGAGAAAAUGGGAUUAGAUACCCGGGUAGUCCCUGUCUCUUAUAC
Molecule: ribosomal RNA, 301 nt
Filed under: uncultured bacterium
Lineage: Bacteria
Description: partial 16S ribosomal RNA
Rfam family: Bacterial small subunit ribosomal RNA
Source: RNAcentral